RNAcentral lists this small RNA (108 nucleotides) under Marmota monax (woodchuck). The record is from RNAcentral. Lineage: Eukaryota; Metazoa; Chordata; Mammalia; Rodentia; Sciuridae.
GCCGGGUGCGGUGGCGCACACCUGUAAUCCCCAGCAACUCAGGAGGCUGAGGCAGGAAGAUCGCUAGUUCAAAGUCAGCCUCAGCAACUUAGCGGGACCUUGUUUCAA